AGACAAAAAAAAGAAUACAGACACUAAAGUCUACAUACUGCAUGAUUCCAUUUCUAUGCCAUUCUGGAAAAUGCAAAACUAUAGGAACAGAAAUCAAAUCAGUGGUUACUAGGGCCUGGGGUGAGGGAGGGGACUGAAUAUGAAGAGGAAAGGAAUUGCUUGGAGUAAUGGCAGUAUUCUGUACCCUAAUUCUGGUGGUGGUAGUAUUUAUAUGACAGUAUAUACUAAUCAGAACUCAUUGAACUGUUCAUCUAUAAGUUAAUUUUACUGUUAUGUGAAUUACACCUCAUUAAACCUAACCUUAAAAAAAAAACCAAUAGGAUAGAGAAAAGAUGUGAAAAUUUCUGUUUGCCACCUAGGUCUGAAUGAUAAAAAUGAUGUUCUUUAUAAUGUGCCAAGCUCCUACAACAGGCACGAUGCUAGUUACUCCUGUCUGUUACUGCCCCUGCAUCUCUUCCCACUCUCCCUUUGCUCCUUAGAUGUGGACUACACAGGCUCCCUUCCUGUCUCUCUAACUCAGAAAGAUUAUGGCAGCCUCAGGUUCUUUGCACUUAGGUUUCUCCAGGAUAUUUGCACAGUUGACUCCUUCUCAUCACUCAUGUCUUAGCUCUAAAGCUACCUCCUAGCAGAGGUGCUACCCUGAUCACCUUUUAGAAAUUAGCCAUACCCUAACCUGCAUAGCUAUCACAUUAUUUUGUAUUAUUUUUUCCCCAUAGCCCUUAUCACUGUCUGAAAUUCUUACUUGCUUGCAUGUUGUUGUCUGUGUCUCUCCAUUAGAAGACAAGCCUUUUUUCAGUUAUUUUUAUUUUCUAGAACAGUACUUGGCACAGGAGAUGCAAUAAAGAUUUGUUGAAUGGAUGUAGUCCUUGUGAAGUUAUACAAGGCAUCUUUAAGGAAUAAACUUUAUAUUCAGAUUUUGAAAGUAGAGCCACAUAAGCAAACAUUUAUUAUAUACCGUAUUUUCACUAGUCCCCCUCAUGAUUUGAAUUUCAUACCAUUAUUCACUUGCAAAGAACACUAGACUUAGAGUCAAGAGUCCCAGAUUCUAACCUCGAUCUUGCCACUAACCAAGACACUGCACCUUUGGGUCCAGAAUUCCAUUUCUAGAAAUUUAUUUCAAGGAAAAUAUUGAACACAUACAGAAACAUAUACACACCAGGAACCAGGAUGCUCAUCCGGUGUAUUUACAGUGGCAAAAGUUGGGAUGAAGACAAUUUCACACAAUGGGGCUUGGGCUAAAUAGACCCUGGUUUAUCCAUCAAUGUCACACUGUGAAUUCACGUGAAAUUUUAUAUUCAUUUUAUUACUUAUUCAACAGAUGUUCAUUUUGUCACUUAUGAUUAUCUACUAUUCUGUUAUUGAUUAUAUUCAUUUUGUAACUUAUUCAAUAGAUGUUCAUUUGGCACUUCCCAAUUGUAGGUACUAAGUGCUAAGGAUGCAGCAGUGAAUAAAAUGAACACUCUAUGCUCAUAAAUUUAUUUUGAUGGCGAAGAAAGACAAUAAAAAGAAAUUUAUACAUUAUAUAAUAUGAUAUCAGGUGAUAUCAGUUCUAUGAAGGAAAGAUAAUGCACAGUAAGGGGAUUGGGAUAUUCCCCAAGAGAAUGAUUGGAGCAUGCUACUUUAUAUAGAGUGACCAGGGAAGACCCCUCUAAGGUCAUAUUUGACCAGAGACCUGCAUGAAGUGAGGAAGUGAAGCAUGUGAAUAUCUUUGGAGAGAGAAUUCCAGGCAAAUGCAAUGGCCCUAAAGCAGAAGUAUGCUUGACAAUUUUGAGAGAAAGAAAUUCUGUAGCUAGAAAAAUGUGAGCAUGGAAAAAAAUGGUAAGAAAUGUUAUCAGAGAGGUAGACAAGGACUAGAUUUUGUGGCACCUUAUAUAGGUCAUGGUGAGGAUAGCAGAUUUUGUUGUGUGAUAGAAAAUCUUGGAGAACUCUGAAUAGAGUGGUCAGAUCUAUCUUGUAUUUUAAGAUAGUGUGGUAAGUAGGCUAAGGAAGGAUAGACAAAAGUGAUAGCAAGGAAGCUAUGUAGGAGGCUAUUUCAGAAGUCCAGGGGAAAUGGUGGUGGCAUGAAUGAGGACCCAGGCAGUGGGGUUGGUGAAAAUGAAUUCUAUUUGGGACUUGUACUUAUUUCCACAUAGAACUAAUACAAAAGGCUGGUGUGGUAGUGGGGAGUAUGGGAGAAAGAGGAGUAAAAGAUGAAUAUUUGGAUUUGAGCCUUUGCAAUUGAGUCAAGUUGCAACUGAGUGAAGAUGUGUAAUACUUUUGAAUAAAAGGGUCUGAGUGCAAAAGAGAGGAUGUUGCCUCUUCCUGGAUAUCACCUGCGUAGCAUCACCUAGAGAAUAUCCCGCUAAGAACUGAGAACUGAGUCCUGGGGCAAUUCGAAUGAUUGAAUGUGCCAAAGGCUGCUGAGAGUAGAAUAAAAUGAGGACUAAGAAUGCCCAUUGGAGGGAGAUCCCUUGUGGUACAAAGGGUUAAGGAUCUGCGGUUAACGAAUCCGACUAGGAACCAUGAGGUUGCGGGUUCGGUCCCUGCCCUUGCUCAGUGGGUUAAGGAUCCAGCGUUGCCGUGAGCUGUGGUGUAGGUUGCAGACGCAGCUCGGAUCCCAAGUUGUUGUGGCUGUGGCAUAGGCCAGCAGCUGUAGCUCUCAUUCAGCCCCUAGCCUGUGAACCUCCAUGUGCCACAAGUGUGGCCCUAAAAAGUCAAAAAG
Molecule: long non-coding RNA, 2701 nt
Filed under: Sus scrofa (pig)
Lineage: Eukaryota; Metazoa; Chordata; Mammalia; Artiodactyla; Suidae
Description: lncRNA (ENSSSCG00045007895.1)
Source: RNAcentral